UCCAUCCCUCCUGCUCGCCAGUGGUUCCUCCUCCCCUGCCUCCUCACGUCGCCCUCAAGUCCGAGGCAACGAGUUUGCUUCCUCUGCUCCGUUCAUGUCAUUGAGCUUUUUCCUUGGGCAUAGCACCACAUUUGCGGCAGCACACCGGAGUCAAUUUGGUUGACUAGCAAUAGAGCAAAGGUGAGAGUAAAAUCAGGUCUUCACCUAUGGAGGAGGUAGAUACUGACGGAGUGCAUAUGACCAGGUGUCCUCCAGGUUCUGCAUCAUCAGUGUGUACCUCUAGAUUCUGCAUCAUUAGUGAGCAACUUACCUAAGCAACCGAGCCCAAUCAACAAUUGGUAGAAGUAGUUAUGAGAUGAGGCAGAGGAGAGCAGAGAGGACCGGAGAAGGAGUUGCGGACCUUGCCAACAAGGCCGUGACCCUACAUCACUAAAAAAAAUGCGCCGUAUUUGUUUCUCAUGCUUUACCAUGGCAUGUUCUUAUUAGUUCAGGUUGGUCUCUCCGGUUCUUUUCGCCAAUGGCUUGAUGUACGCACUGGCAACCUCUUACUGGAAGGAUUCGGCAUGCCUCUGUUCGAGAGAUGGGAUAUGAAGAAAUGGCGUUCUGGUUGUCUUCAUGUCGCUGUUGUGCUACUGCUAGGCAUGAACAGAAUGGCCUCCUCUUAUUGCGAACCACAUUGAUGUUGGCUUCUGAUUUAUGCUGUAAUGGAUUAUUUACUAUGGACAAAUAUGGCAAUAUUCAUUUGGAGCACCGUUUCUUGAGGAUAUGUCUCUUCUACAGGGGGAGAUCCCCGGCCUCUGCAUCAGAACGAUGCAUACAUGAUAUCGGUACUUUUUAUAACUGAUCCAUGUUCUUGGAAUACUUUAUUUUAUUUCAUUAAUAAGCAAGGGUGGAUGGUGGCUUGCAGUGUGCUUGUACUAAAAAAGGUGUUCUGCCAUCCCAUGGAUUCUAGCACAGCUUGAAGCGGCCAAGUCAAGGAGGACCUAUAAAAUUAUUUGAUCGUCUCUCUCUCUCUCUCUCUCUCUCUCUCUCUCUCUAUAUAUAUAUAUAUAUAUAUAUAUAUAUAUAUAUAUAUAUAUAUAUAUAUGUGUUGUCUGGUGCAUGUAUGGCUGAGAAUAGGGAGAGAGAGCAAGUUUAAUUUUCCUUGGGCAUUCAAAUUCUUAUUUUGCUUUUCUCAGAUUUUUGGCUGGGUGUUUAAACAUACUUGCACACACUGGUUUCAGAUUUCAGUGUAAACUACAAAUAGGGGAAAAAUAUAGUGAUUUUUCCAAAUUAGAAAUAGGGAGAAGGGAAACUAUUGGUUAUUGUGUGCAUGUAUAACUAAUUGGAUUACUGGUUGAACGAGUGCAGACUUGAGAAAGAAGAGAUAGGGCCAAUAAAAUUAGGUGGGAGGUAUGCUGAUGGGUUCAUUUUAGCAUUACUAAUCGACCGCUUGGCAUCCUGAAGCUGAAAGAUUAGCGAGACUGACUAAAUUCUAAACAUGUUCCAUGUGAGAGAAAUAGCAUGUUGAUUUCAUCUUGAAAUAAUCAUAGUUGAGGGAUGAGGUUCGUAACCGAGGGUCAUGUGCAGAGCUGGAGGAAGAAGUUGCGAGGCUUGAAACUCUGUGAAGGGCUCAGGGACAGCAGUGAGGACAAUGCCUCUUUAGUUGUAAUUGUGAUACUCUUGAUGUGCAAUUAAACACUCCUGUGAUACUCCUUAUGCUAAAAUGUUGGUUGUUAGUACAGAGGUGGUGACAUUAUUUGGUUCUCUGGUAUUGAUUUCAUGAUUUGUGGUUAAUACAUGAUGUAAUACAAUCCACAUUGUAUUAUAUUUCCAGUUACAUCUUUUACUUACUCACUACUAACAUUCUUUCUAAUUUGCUUCUUGCGCCAUUGGC
Long non-coding RNA from Triticum dicoccoides, 1876 nucleotides. RefSeq lists it as uncharacterized. The record is from RefSeq and is a predicted model, not a curated record. The transcript has 8 exons. NCBI's taxonomy places the organism in Eukaryota, Viridiplantae, Streptophyta, Magnoliopsida, Poales, Poaceae.